This 492-nucleotide ribosomal RNA is filed under the name uncultured Cytophagaceae bacterium. RNAcentral describes it as "partial 16S ribosomal RNA". Lineage: Bacteria; Pseudomonadati; Bacteroidota; Cytophagia; Cytophagales; Cytophagaceae. The record is from RNAcentral.
CACGGAGUUAGCCGGUGCUUAUUCUGCAGGUACCGUCAUCGCACUACACGUAGUGCUUAUUCUUCCCUGUCAAAAGCAGUUUACGACUCAGAAAGCCUUCUUCCUGCACGCGGCAUGGCUGGGUCAGGCUCUCGCCCAUUGCCCAAUAUUCCCUACUGCUGCCUCCCGUAGGAGUCGGGCCCGUAUCUCAGUGCCCGUGUGGGGGACCAGCCUCUCAGCUCCCCUAGUCAUCGUCGCCUUGGUAAGCCGUUACCUUACCAACUAGCUAAUGACCCGCAACCCCAUCUAUAACCAAUAAAUCUUUACUAUUCAGGUGAUGCCACCCAAGCAGCUUAUGCGGUAUUAAUCCGCCUUUCGGCGGGCUAUCCCCCAGUUAUAGGUAGGUUAGUUACGUGUUACGCACCCGUGCGCCACUAUGACAUUGCUGCCACCGUUCGACUUGCAUGUAUUAGGCCUGCCGCUAGCGUUCAUCCUGAGCCAGGAUCAAACUCU